The sequence is a transfer RNA, 73 nucleotides long. It matches the Rfam family "tRNA". Rfam says of the family: Transfer RNA (tRNA) molecules are approximately 80 nucleotides in length. Their secondary structure includes four short double-helical elements and three loops (D, anti-codon, and T loops). Further hydrogen bonds mediate the characteristic L-shaped molecular structure. tRNAs have two regions of fundamental functional importance: the anti-codon, which is responsible for specific mRNA codon recognition, and the 3' end, to which the tRNAs corresponding amino acid is attached (by aminoacyl-tRNA synthetases). tRNAs cope with the degeneracy of the genetic code in two manners: having more than one tRNA (with a specific anti-codon) for a particular amino acid; and 'wobble' base-pairing, i.e. permitting non-standard base-pairing at the 3rd anti-codon position.
GCCCGGUUAGCUCAGUCGGCAGAGCGCACGGCUCUUACCCUAGUGGUCGUGGGUUCGAGCCCCACAUCGGGUC